GUAGGUGGCAAGCGUUGUCCGGGAAUUAUUGGGCGUAAAGCGCGCGCAGGCGGUUCUUUAAGUCUGAUGUGAAAGCCCACGGGCUCAACCGUGGAGGGUCAUUGGAAACUGGAGAACUUGAGUACAGAAGAGGAAAGCGGAAUUCCACGUGUAGCGGUGAAAUGCGUAGAGAUGUGGAGGAACGCCAGUGGCGAAGGCGGCUUUCUGGUCUGUAACUGACGCUGAGGCGCGAAAGCGUGGGGAGCAAACAGGAUUAGAUACCCUGGUAGUCCACGCCGUAAACGAUGAGUGCUAAGUGUUAGGGGGUUUCCGCCCCUUAGUGCUGCAGCUAACGCAUUAAGCACUCCGCCUGGGGAGUACGGCCGCAAAGGCUG
RNAcentral lists this ribosomal RNA (374 nucleotides) under uncultured organism. RNAcentral's name for it is "partial 16S ribosomal RNA". It matches the Rfam family "Bacterial small subunit ribosomal RNA", at positions 527 to 896 of the family's 1533-position model. The record is from RNAcentral.